CAGCCGCGGUAAUACGAAGGGGGCUAGCGUUGUGCGGAAUUACUGGGCGUAAAGGGCGUGUAGGCGGCUGACUAAGGCACGUGUGAAAGCCCCGGGCUUAACCCGGGAAUUGCGCGUGAGACUGGUCGGCUAGAAUCCGGGAGAGGGUAGUGGAAUUCCCAGUGUAGAGGUGAAAUUCGUAGAUAUUGGGAAGAACACCAGUGGCGAAGGCGGCUACCUGGACCGGUAUUGACGCUAAGGCGCGAAAGCGUGGGGAGCAAAC
This 262-nucleotide ribosomal RNA is filed under the name uncultured bacterium. RNAcentral describes it as "partial 16S ribosomal RNA". It matches the Rfam family "Bacterial small subunit ribosomal RNA", at positions 512 to 773 of the family's 1533-position model. The record is from RNAcentral.